This 828-nucleotide long non-coding RNA is filed under the name Triticum aestivum (bread wheat). RNAcentral's name for it is "long non-coding RNA (TAES_LNC000132)". Lineage: Eukaryota; Viridiplantae; Streptophyta; Magnoliopsida; Poales; Poaceae. The record is from RNAcentral.
CAUAUCCAACAAGGUUCACAACAACAUGCGUGCAUAUCCAACAAGGUUCACAAACAAAAGCAUGAGUUCCAAGUUCACACCAAGCAUGAACCUCAAAGAUGCAAUGAGCUCCACCAUAGCAUGUAUGCCCACCGUCAAUGGCAUCCACGAUGCAAACCUAUAAGUCCAUUACCAAACGCAUGAGUUUCCAAAGUUAAGUUUCAAAUGAUCGAUAAGGCACAAGAGUCAACAAGCCGUAUGAGUUUCCAAAGCUAUGUUUUAAAUGAUCGAUAAGGCACAAGAGUCAACAAGCAUCAACAUAUAAGGUUCAAAUUGAAGCUAAGAAGUAUGAACAGUAUAAGCAUCAACACUUGUGGGAUCUACUAUCAACAAUGCACAAGUUGUAAGUUGAGAAGCACAAAGACAGGACGCAAGCAUCAACAAUGAACAAACAUAGACAACUACCUCGAGUGAUCAUUGUUGCAAGGAGGUCGAAGCCGUAGUGGGUGUCACCGGGCUUGCUUGGGUAGGUAUGGAUCCAAGUACCAAGAAGUUAUUUGAGGCUUGUCCCGACUGAGAACACUUCAAGCAUGAGACGGUAAGAUGGUAAGAUGCAUGAUAUUUAAGCAUGAUUGUAAGAUGCAUAAUUAAAAAGUUGGAUGACUUACAAGCUUAAAGUAGGAAGAGGCGAAAGAGGAGGAAGAUCCGGCAAAGUAGAACCCUGCAUGUUAGUUUUGAACUGAGAAAACGUAUCAAGCAGGGCCGCCUGUUGUUUGGCUAUGAAUUCCUGUUGUUGCAAGAGGGCUUGCUGCAUUUUCAUGGCUUGCUCCUGUUGAAGGAGGGAAUUGG